RNAcentral lists this long non-coding RNA (2868 nucleotides) under Sus scrofa (pig). RNAcentral describes it as "lncRNA (ENSSSCG00040019051.1)". The record is from RNAcentral. Lineage: Eukaryota; Metazoa; Chordata; Mammalia; Artiodactyla; Suidae.
CCUGACGGACACUGGUAGCAGUAGCAGGCACCCACACGGACAAGACGGCUGGAGCUAGCGGCAGCGACGGCAAAGCCCUGGCUCCCAGGACUGAGAUCAUAGAAAUGAAUGAUGAAUUAAGAAGCAGGCAAGAAAUUGUGAAUGAAUUGAACAUACUUUUGGAAGAAAAUGAGACUUAAUAUGAGAAUUAAGAAGUUUGGUACAAUUACAAAUGAAGAAUUCAGAAAAUCACCAGGAAACUCUUGCACUUUGAAAAUGUGAUUCCACUGCCUUCUGACCACCAUUGUUUCAAUGACAAAUCAACUGUUAAUUACAUUGAUGCUCCUUUGCAUAUGUGGAUUCCUUUACUAUUACAUCUGAGCUGAGGUGGGUUUUUUUGUGAAAUGUUUGUUUCUCUACUUUCAAUCAUCAAAGAAUAUGAAGCAUCAAGUUGCUACUUAUCACCCACAGGGAUUAGUAGACCCAUUCCGCUCAAUUUAUUCUCUCCUUGGAAUUUAAUUUAGAAGCAUCGAUAUACUCUUAAAUGUAUAAGAAUUUAUAUCACUCAUAAUUAAAUAUCACUGAAAAAUUUGUUUUUCAAUGUAGUUAAUAUUUGUCAUUCAAAGAUUGUUCCUUUAUAUAUUAGAGAAUCAGGAAUAAAAGUAGUCUACUCAACUCUCCCUGGUUGGUAGUGGGUGAACAAGAGGAGAAAGAAAAUUGUUCAUUCUCAAUGGUAUCAUAUAGUGAAAAUAAUUCUGUUUCCUCAAUAAAGGAUCAUGAUGGUACACAGGUCUAUAUACAUGACUUUAGUCUCAGUCAUGCCAAAAAGAUUUUAUCCAGGUAGAACAAAGAAGGUGAUUUUUAUAAUAAUCUAAUAAUUUUAUUAAUUGCAAGCUUCUACUUUCAUGAUUAUCGCUUAAGAAGUGACUUGCUCGUGCUCCUUGUUUAGUGGAUAUAUUGUUUCCUAAAUUUAACUAGCAAAUAAUUCUCUCUAUCUACAACUUCUCUCAGAAUGCUAAAGAAAGACUAAAAAGGAUGAAUCUUAAAUGCAUGUAUUUAUAGGCAAAAUAAUGAUGACAUGAAGUUUAAAUCGGUUUUCCAAUGGAGGCAAUAAAUGUAUGUUCAGAGUCUUGUCCUCAAGGUUAGUAGCAUACCUCUAUGUCUGGCUGACCAGAGUUUUGGACACAUCUUGUGACCAUGGGACAAAACUACUUUAUCUCGUUGUGGAAUAAAUUCAUUAGCAAUAUGCAUUUAUAAGUUGCACAGUUCAUGUACUUGAUAGUAACAGAUUGGGCUGAUUAUAAAUGAAUCAUUCGGUUAUGCCUUACUGCUUCCAGGCAGUCCCCAAACAUGCUUGGUACUUCUGCUCUCAUAGCUCCCUAGAAUAUACUCCUUUUCUUUCUCCUUUCUUCCCUAUGCUUCCAUCUAUACCUCUCUCCUAGCCAAGUAAACUUUUUUCUUUUUAUUAAAGUAUAGUUGAUUUACAGUGUUGUGUUAAUUCCUGCUCCAAGUAAACUUUUUUUUUUUUUUUUUUGUCAUUUUUGGCUGCCUCAUGUCAUAUGGAGUUCCCGGGCCAGGGAUGAGAUCCAAGCCACAGUCACGACUUAAGCCUCAGCUGUGGCAGCACUGUUCCUUACCCGGGCCAGGGAUGGAAUCUGAGUCCCAGUGCUCCCAGGACGCCCCAACCACCUUGCACCACAGCGGAAACUCCUCCAGGUAAACUUCUAACUCAUCUUUGUAGUUUUGAAAUAUCUGUAGAUUCUUUUCUAGUCGUCUCACCUUUCCCCAGCCAUUUCCACUCUUCAUUCUAAAGAACAUUAAUUUUUCUUUCCACAUACUCAGCAAUUGUGUUGUCACCAGUAGUAUUUGUAUUUGUGGGCUCCUUAAAGGAGAGAUUAUUAUGUGUUUAACAUGUAGCAGACACUUAAGAGCUGUUUAUUGAAUGAAGGAUUAUAUGAAUACUUAUAAUUUCAUCAUUUUCAUUUUUGUUACAUUUAAAUAAAUGUUUGUUUCAUACUUAGAUAAAUUCUGAAAGACCUAUAGAUAGAUUUAGGUAGCCUAAAAGGAGGCAAAAGAUCUGAAAUUUUACUCUGAAAAUUGUAAUACACUGAUAAAAGAAAUCAAAGACUACACAAACAAGUGGAAAGAUAUACUGUGUUCUUGGAUUAGAAGGAUCAAUAUUGUUAAAAUGACCAUCUACCCAAGGCAAUCUAGCAAUUCAGUGUAAUCCUAUCAGAUUACCAAUGGCAUUUUCAUAGAACUAGAACAAAUGGUUUUUAAUUUGUAUAUAAAAUAAAAAAGGCUCUGAACAGCCAAAACAAUCUUGAGAAAGAAAAGCAGAACUUGAAUAAUCACACUCCCUGACUUCAGACUAUACUACAAAGCUACAGUAAUCAAAACAGUAUGAUGUUGGCAGAAAAACAGAAAUAUAGAUCAAUGAAACAAAAUAGAUUACCCAGAAAUAAACCCAUGCACCUGUGGUCAAUUAAUCUAUAACAAAGGAGGCAAGAAUAUACAAUGGAGAAAAGACAGUCUCCUCAAUAAGAGGUGCUAAGAAAACUGGACAGCUACAUGUAAAAGAAUGAAAUUAGAACAUUCUCAACAUCACAUACAAAAAUAAACUCAAAAUUGGAGUUCCCAUUGUGGUGCAAUGAAAACAAAUCCCACUAGUAACCAUGAGGUUGCAGGUUUGAUCCCUGGCCUCACUCAAUGGGUUAAGGAUCUGGCAUUGCCACGAGCUCUGAUGUAGGUUGCAGACAUGGCUCGGAUCCCACAUUGCUGUGGCUGUGGCAUAGGCUGGUGGAUGUAGCUCCAAUGUGACCCCCACCCUGGGAACCUCCUUAUGCUGCAGGUGUGGCUCUAAAAAAGCAAAAAAAAAAAAAAAAAAAA